GAUGAACGCUGGCGGCGUGCUUAACACAUGCAAGUCGAACGGAAAGGCCCAAGCUUGCUUGGGUACUCGAGUGGCGAACGGGUGAGUAACACGUGGGUGAUCUGCCCCGCACUUCGGGAUAAGCCUGGGAAACUGGGUCUAAUACCGGAUAGGACAGUGGUUUGGAUGCCAUUGUGGAAAGUUUUUUCGGUGUGGGAUGAGCUCGCGGCCUAUCAGCUUGUUGGUGGGGUAAUGGCCUACCAAGGCGUCGACGGGUGGCCGGCCCGGGAGGGUGUACGGCCACAUUGGGACUGGGAUACGGCCCAGACUCCUACGGGAGGCAACAGGGGGGAAUAUUGCACAAUGGGCGCAAGCCUGAUGCAGCGACGCCGCGUGGGGGAUGACGGCCUUCGGGUUGUAAACUCCUUUCGCUAGGGACGAAGCGUUAUGUGACGGUACCUAGAGAAGAAGCACCGGCUAACUACGUG
Molecule: ribosomal RNA, 467 nt
Filed under: uncultured bacterium
Lineage: Bacteria
Description: partial 16S ribosomal RNA
Rfam family: Bacterial small subunit ribosomal RNA
Source: RNAcentral